This 50-nucleotide non-coding RNA is filed under the name Vibrio sinaloensis DSM 21326. RNAcentral's name for it is "L31-Gammaproteobacteria ribosomal protein leader". It matches the Rfam family "L31-Gammaproteobacteria ribosomal protein leader". The record is from RNAcentral. Lineage: Bacteria; Pseudomonadati; Pseudomonadota; Gammaproteobacteria; Vibrionales; Vibrionaceae.
CGUGUGGUGUCCGGCUUAGAUUCGGAUAGCGACACGGCCUAUAUAGAGGU